CUGUCAAGUGAUUCCUUUGACCGGUAUCUCUGCCGAAAAAAGCUGAAAAGCAAAAGGAAGUCUUUGUCAUGGCUCUGCUCACUGAUCAUAUCAUUUUUAUGUUGAUAUUUAUCAAAGUGUGCGGUAAGGAAAUGCAAAUUUUUGUUCAUCUCUUUUGGAAUUACUACAUGUGAAGUUGAGAAGUAACAGUGAAAGAAAUAGGUUGCAUUAAAAGCUUCUUUUAAAACUGAGUUGCUACAAACUCCUCAGAAGACAGAAAGUAACACGUUACCCACAGUGUGAAGCAACAGAAAACGUUUUUGCAUGGUUGCAAGAACAAGUCACCGAAACGAUGAUUUUGAAUGAAGGCUGUACAGUGAGACAGAGAGACGUAUACACUUGCUGUGUUGAUAUAUAUGCCAAUGGCGUGUAUAAAUAUUCAGUCGACACAAACUGGACCACGGAUAAACUUCACAGUGAGGAAUGGGACAGUGAGGAAAUCCUUCUGGCGUGUAUUGAAUACGACCCCUACUUAAGUAACUUGACCGCUGACGUAGAACAGGUCCUCUCUGGCAGCAUCCACCUCAAACGGUGUCUUAACCUGAAUUACUCUGCUACUGAUGACAAGUUUAAGGUAGGCUCUCCUAUCUCGCC
Brienomyrus brachyistius is the source of this 633-nucleotide long non-coding RNA. RefSeq lists it as uncharacterized. Lineage: Eukaryota; Metazoa; Chordata; Actinopteri; Osteoglossiformes; Mormyridae. The record is from RefSeq and is a predicted model, not a curated record. The transcript is spliced from 3 exons.